Molecule: ribosomal RNA, 484 nt
Filed under: uncultured bacterium
Lineage: Bacteria
Description: partial 16S ribosomal RNA
Rfam family: Bacterial small subunit ribosomal RNA
Source: RNAcentral
AUUGAACGCUGGCGGCAGGCCUAACACAUGCAAGUCGAGCGGAUGAAGGGAGCUUGCUCCUGGAUUCAGCGGCGGACGGGUGAGUAAUGCCUAGGAAUCUGCCUGGUAGUGGGGGAUAACGUCCGGAAACGGGCGCUAAUACCGCAUACGUCCUGAGGGAGAAAGUGGGGGAUCUUCGGACCUCACGCUAUCAGAUGAGCCUAGGUCGGAUUAGCUAGUUGGUGGGGUAAAGGCCUACCAAGGCGACGAUCCGUAACUGGUCUGAGAGGAUGAUCAGUCACACUGGAACUGAGACACGGUCCAGACUCCUACGGGAGGAAGCAGUGGGGAAUAUUGGACAAAGGGCGAAAGCCUGAUCCAGCCAUGCCGCGUGUGUGAAGAAGGUCUUCGGAUUGUAAAGCACUUUAAGUUGGGAGGAAGGGCAGUAAGUUAAUACCUUGCUGUUUUGACGUUACCAACAGAAUAAGCACCGGCUAACUUCGUG